AACGAACGCUGGCGGCAUGCCUAACACAUGCAAGUCGAACGAGACCUUCGGGUCUAGUGGCGCACGGGUGCGUAACGCGUGGGAACCUGCCCUUAGGUUCGGAGUAACUCCCCGAAAGGGGUGCUAAUACCGGAUAAUGUCUUCGGACCAAAGAUUUAUCGCCUUUGGAUGGGCCCGCGUUGGAUUAGCUAGUUGGUAGGGUAAAAGCCUACCAAGGCGACGAUCCAUAGCUGGUCUGAGAGGAUGAUCAGCCACACUGGGACUGAGACACGGCCCAGACUCCUACGGGAGGCAGCAGUGGGGAAUAUUGGAAAAUGGGCGAAAGCCUGAUCCAGCAAGGCCGCGUGAGUGAUGAAGGCCUUAGGGUUGUAAAGCUCUUUUACCCGGGAUGAUAAUGACAGUACCGGGAGAAUAAGCUCCGGCUAACUACGUG
This 433-nucleotide ribosomal RNA is filed under the name uncultured bacterium. Its description in RNAcentral is "partial 16S ribosomal RNA". It matches the Rfam family "Bacterial small subunit ribosomal RNA", at positions 29 to 507 of the family's 1533-position model. The record is from RNAcentral.